AGCUUUAUGUAAUUUCAUUUAAAGUAUAACCUGCCCACUGAAUUUUUUAAAUGGCCGCAGUACCUUGACUGUGCUAAGGUAGCAUAAUAAAUUGGCUUUUAAUUGAGGUCUUGAAUGAAAGGAUUAAUGGACAAUUACUGUCUUAUAUUAAAUUAUAAUAAUUUACUUAAAAGGUGAAAAUUCCUUUGGUUUAAUAUAAUAGACGAGAAGACCCUAGGAGUUUAAUAUUUUGUUGGGGCGACAUUAUAACAUAUAACUUAUAAUAAUUUUAAAUUUAAUUUAACGAAUAUUUUUAAUAAUAACUAAACUACCCUAGGGAUAACAGCAUAAUUUAAAUUUAUUUUAGGUUUGUGACCUCGAUGUUGGACUAAGGACAUUUAAAAUUAAUAAUAUUAAAUGAUAGUUCUGUUCGAACUUUUAACCUU
This 425-nucleotide ribosomal RNA is filed under the name Taphrenalla macrosulcata. RNAcentral describes it as "Ariophantidae gen. n. sp. mac AP-2020 partial large subunit ribosomal RNA". The record is from RNAcentral. Lineage: Eukaryota; Metazoa; Mollusca; Gastropoda; Stylommatophora; Ariophantidae.